RNAcentral lists this small RNA (1671 nucleotides) under Tannerella forsythia KS16. Its description in RNAcentral is "Acido-Lenti-1 RNA". The stretch from base 1360 to 1404 matches the Rfam family "Acido-Lenti-1 RNA". Lineage: Bacteria; Pseudomonadati; Bacteroidota; Bacteroidia; Bacteroidales; Tannerellaceae. The record is from RNAcentral.
CAAUAAGAAGAGACCCGUCAUCCAUAAAGUAAACAUUUUCUUUUUCAUUGUUUUCUACAAUUUGAUGUUAAUAUUCAUUUUUCGUUAGUCACUAUUCGUUAUUCGUUUCUUUUGUUGUUCAGAGCGUUCUUUCCGUUACUUUUGGCUUGAUCCAAAAGUAACCCAAAGGUUAAGGCUUCGUGCGCUUCGCUUCGCUCUUCCCCCCUUUGAAGGGAUAACAUCCCCCCUUCGCUUCGCUCUUCCCCCCUUUGAAGGGGGGGGAAGGGGGGAUGUCCCUCUGCGUUCGGUCUUUUGUCAUUCAGAGCGAAGCGAAUCUGAAUGACAAAUUAAUUGUUAAUUGUCAAUGGUAAAUGGUUAUGCGUGGUACACGCCGAAUCAUGUACCCGGUAUGACAAUUGACCAUUGAAAAAGAGCCCUGAAAGGGCGUAAUAAUUCAGCCCAAUGUGGAGCGUAGCGAAGCGUUGGGAAACAGGGCACCCCCCUCGGCUGAGGGCUGAAAGCCUGACAUAAUUCAAUUGUCAAUGGUUAAUUGUUAUGCCGGGUACACGGUAUCCGAACGCCGCGUUUGUCAUUCCGAACAUAGUGAGGAAUCCCGCCCCGAAAACGGAAAGAGAUUCGCGAAGCGAAGAAUCUCCUUUCCUUUUCCUCGCGGGAUUCCUCACUGUGUUCGGAAUGACAAAGGGGGUUAUUUGCUUUCAUUCGCGUUAUUUGCGUUAUUUGCGUUCGGAUAACCCUGCAUAACAAUUAACAAUUGACCAUUAACAAUUGAAUUAUGUCAGGCUUUCAGCCCUUGUGCCCUGUGCGGGCCAAUCUCUUCUUCCCCCUUUGAAGGGGGGGAGGGGGAUGUUCCUCUGCGUUCGGAUACCGUGUACCCGGCAUAACAAUUAACCAUUGACAAUUAACCAUUAAUUUGUCAUUCAAUUCCUCACUGUGUUCGGAAUGACAAAGGGGGUUAUUUGCUUUCAUUCGCGUUAUUUGCGUUAUUUGCGUUCGGAUAACCCUGCAUAACAAUUAACAAUUGACCAUUAACAAUUGAAUUAUGUCAGGCUUUCAGCCCUUGUGCCCUGUGCGGGCCAAUCUCUUCUUCCCCCUUUGAAGGGGGGGAGGGGGAUGUUCCUCUGCGUUCGGAUACCGUGUACCCGGCAUAACAAUUAACCAUUGACAAUUAACCAUUAAUUUGUCAUUCAGAGCGUAAGCGACGAAUCUCUUUCCUCUUCCUCGCGAGAUUCCUCACGGUGUUCGGAAUGACAAAGGGUGGCGUUCGGAUUCCGUGUACCACGCAUAACAAUUAACCAUUGACAAUUAACAACUGAAUUACGUCAGGCUUUCAGCCCUCCGCCGAGGGGGUCGCCCUUUUUUCCCAACGCUUCGCAUUGGGCUGAAUUAAUACGCCCUUUCAGGGCUCUUACAGCUGUCAGCAAUCAGCCAACAACUCAACGCCUCAACAACUCAACAACUCAACACCCCGAAGGGGUUAGCUCGCAUGGGCACAAGGGCUGAAAGCCCGGUAUAUUUCAGCCCCAUCCCGCAAGGGUGGGGUAUCGAUUCCCAUACCCCGCUUUGAGGGCUGAAAGCCUGACAUAAUUUGACAGGUACGUAUGCGCCGCCCUAAUACGUGCUUAUUAGGCAUCCUAAUACGUGCUUAUUAGACGCCCUAAUAUGCCGGACUGA